GAAGAGCCCAAACCAAUAAGCUUGCUUAUUGGGGUUGUAGGACACUCUGUACGGAGUUACAAAAGAAUUUGUUAGACGAAUAACCUGGAAAGGUUAAUCAUAGAAGGUAAUAAUCCUGUAGUCGAAAGCGAAUUCUCUCUUGAGUGGAUCCUGAGUACGACGGAGCACGUGAAAUUCCGUCGGAAUCUGGGAGGACCAUCUCCUAAGGCUAAAUACUCUCUAGUGACC
RNAcentral lists this ribosomal RNA (228 nucleotides) under Staphylococcus pseudintermedius. RNAcentral's name for it is "partial 23S ribosomal RNA". It matches the Rfam family "Bacterial large subunit ribosomal RNA", at positions 262 to 485 of the family's 2925-position model. The record is from RNAcentral. Lineage: Bacteria; Bacillati; Bacillota; Bacilli; Caryophanales; Staphylococcaceae.